Molecule: ribosomal RNA, 490 nt
Filed under: uncultured bacterium
Lineage: Bacteria
Description: partial 16S ribosomal RNA
Rfam family: Bacterial small subunit ribosomal RNA
Source: RNAcentral
GAUGAACGCUAGCUACAGGCUUAACACAUGCAAGUCGAGGGGCAGCAUGGUCUUAGCUUGCUAAGGCCGAUGGCGACCGGCGCACGGGUGAGUAACACGUAUCCAACCUGCCGUCUACUCUUGGACAGCCUUCUGAAAGGAAGAUUAAUACAAGAUGGCAUCAUGAGUCCGCAUGUUCACAUGAUUAAAGGUAUUCCGGUAGACGAUGGGGAUGCGUUCCAUUAGAUAGUAGGCGGGGUAACGGCCCACCUAGUCUUCGAUGGAUAGGGGUUCUGAGAGGAAGGUCCCCCACAUUGGAACUGAGACACGGUCCAAACUCCUACGGGAGGCAGCAGUGAGGAAUAUUGGUCAAUGGGCGCAGGCCUGAACCAGCCAAGUAGCGUGAAGGAUGACUGCCCUAUGGGUUGUAAACUUCUUUUAUAAAGGAAUAAAGUCGGGUAUGGAUACCCGUUUGCAUGUACUUGAUGAAUAAGGAUCGGCUAACUCCGUG